UGAUGUAGACAUUAAAACGUAUUAGUUUACAAACCAUGCACUAUGUUAAAAGUGUUUUGAAGUCACAACAUAGUACUAUGGAAAUGGAAGG
Molecule: long non-coding RNA, 91 nt
Organism: Sinocyclocheilus rhinocerous
Lineage: Eukaryota; Metazoa; Chordata; Actinopteri; Cypriniformes; Cyprinidae
Exons: 3
Source: RefSeq, a predicted model, not a curated record